RNAcentral lists this ribosomal RNA (472 nucleotides) under uncultured bacterium. Its description in RNAcentral is "bacterial SSU rRNA". It matches the Rfam family "Bacterial small subunit ribosomal RNA", at positions 355 to 825 of the family's 1533-position model. The record is from RNAcentral.
UGGGGAAUUUUGGACAAUGGGCGAAAGCCUGAUCCAGCAAUGCCGCGUGCAGGAAGAAGGCCUUCGGGUUGUAAACUGCUUUUGUACGGAACGAAAAGGCUCUUUCUAAUAAAGAGGGCCCAUGACGGUACCGUAAGAAUAAGCACCGGCUAACUACGUGCCAGCAGCCGCGGUAAUACGUAGGGACCAAGCGUUGUUCGGAUUUACUGGGCGUAAAGGGCGCGUAGGCGGCAAUUCAAGUCAUCUGUGAAAUCUCCGGGCUUAACUCGGAACGGUCAGAUGAUACUGCUUUGCUAGAGUGCAGAAGGGGCAAUCGGAAUUCUUGGUGUAGCGGUGAAAUGCGUAGAUAUCAAGAGGAACACCUGAGGUGAAGACGGGUUGCUGGGCUGACACUGACGCUGAGGCGCGAAAGCCAGGGGAGCAAACGGGAUUAGAUACCCAUGUAGUCCCUGAGCGGGCUGGCAAGGCGCAU